RNAcentral lists this ribosomal RNA (1542 nucleotides) under Escherichia coli. Its description in RNAcentral is "16S ribosomal RNA". It matches the Rfam family "Bacterial small subunit ribosomal RNA". RNAcentral also lists the same sequence under 1 other name. The record is from RNAcentral. Lineage: Bacteria; Pseudomonadati; Pseudomonadota; Gammaproteobacteria; Enterobacterales; Enterobacteriaceae.
AAAUUGAAGAGUUUGAUCAUGGCUCAGAUUGAACGCUGGCGGCAGGCCUAACACAUGCAAGUCGAACGGUAACAGGAAACAGCUUGCUGUUUCGCUGACGAGUGGCGGACGGGUGAGUAAUGUCUGGGAAACUGCCUGAUGGAGGGGGAUAACUACUGGAAACGGUAGCUAAUACCGCAUAACGUCGCAAGACCAAAGAGGGGGACCUUCGGGCCUCUUGCCAUCGGAUGUGCCCAGAUGGGAUUAGCUAGUAGGUGGGGUAACGGCUCACCAAGGCGACGAUCCCUAGCUGGUCUGAGAGGAUGACCAGCCACACUGGAACUGAGACACGGUCCAGACUCCUACGGGAGGCAGCAGUGGGGAAUAUUGCACAAUGGGCGCAAGCCUGAUGCAGCCAUGCCGCGUGUAUGAAGAAGGCCUUCGGGUUGUAAAGUACUUUCAGCGGGGAGGAAGGGAGUAAAGUUAAUACCUUUGCUCAUUGACGUUACCCGCAGAAGAAGCACCGGCUAACUCCGUGCCAGCAGCCGCGGUAAUACGGAGGGUGCAAGCGUUAAUCGGAAUUACUGGGCGUAAAGCGCACGCAGGCGGUUUGUUAAGUCAGAUGUGAAAUCCCCGGGCUCAACCUGGGAACUGCAUCUGAUACUGGCAAGCUUGAGUCUCGUAGAGGGGGGUAGAAUUCCAGGUGUAGCGGUGAAAUGCGUAGAGAUCUGGAGGAAUACCGGUGGCGAAGGCGGCCCCCUGGACGAAGACUGACGCUCAGGUGCGAAAGCGUGGGGAGCAAACAGGAUUAGAUACCCUGGUAGUCCACGCCGUAAACGAUGUCGACUUGGAGGUUGUGCCCUUGAGGCGUGGCUUCCGGAGCUAACGCGUUAAGUCGACCGCCUGGGGAGUACGGCCGCAAGGUUAAAACUCAAAUGAAUUGACGGGGGCCCGCACAAGCGGUGGAGCAUGUGGUUUAAUUCGAUGCAACGCGAAGAACCUUACCUGGUCUUGACAUCCACGGAAGUUUUCAGAGAUGAGAAUGUGCCUUCGGGAACCGUGAGACAGGUGCUGCAUGGCUGUCGUCAGCUCGUGUUGUGAAAUGUUGGGUUAAGUCCCGCAACGAGCGCAACCCUUAUCCUUUGUUGCCAGCGGUCCGGCCGGGAACUCAAAGGAGACUGCCAGUGAUAAACUGGAGGAAGGUGGGGAUGACGUCAAGUCAUCAUGGCCCUUACGACCAGGGCUACACACGUGCUACAAUGGCGCAUACAAAGAGAAGCGACCUCGCGAGAGCAAGCGGACCUCAUAAAGUGCGUCGUAGUCCGGAUUGGAGUCUGCAACUCGACUCCAUGAAGUCGGAAUCGCUAGUAAUCGUGGAUCAGAAUGCCACGGUGAAUACGUUCCCGGGCCUUGUACACACCGCCCGUCACACCAUGGGAGUGGGUUGCAAAAGAAGUAGGUAGCUUAACCUUCGGGAGGGCGCUUACCACUUUGUGAUUCAUGACUGGGGUGAAGUCGUAACAAGGUAACCGUAGGGGAACCUGCGGUUGGAUCACCUCCUUA